RNAcentral lists this long non-coding RNA (1957 nucleotides) under Homo sapiens (human). Its description in RNAcentral is "HSALNT0267917". The record is from RNAcentral. Lineage: Eukaryota; Metazoa; Chordata; Mammalia; Primates; Hominidae.
UGAGUUUAAGCUAAAAGCUUUUCCACAUUGAUUACAUACAAAGUGUUUCUCUCCUGUAUGGAUUUUCUUGUGUUUAUUAAGAUUUGAAUUAUUGUUAAAACGCUUUCCACAUUCACCACAUUCAUAGGGUUUCUCUCCAGUAUGAAUUUUUUUAUGUUGGUUAAGUUCCCAGUUAAGGCGAUAGGUCUUUCCACAUUCAUUACAUGCAAAGGGCCUCCCUAUAGAAUGAGUUUUCUGAUGUUUAGUAAAGUUUGACCGAUAUUUAAAGGCUUUUUCACAAGUCGUACAUUGGUAAGGUCUCUCUCCCGUAUGAGUUCCUUUAUGUUGUGUUAGAUCUGACAGACGGACAAAGGUCUUUUUACAACUACUGCAAAUAAAAGACUUCUUUCCGGUAUGGAUUUGUUGGUGGCGAGCAAGAUCCGUGCGCUGGGCAAAGGUUUUUUUACAUUCAUUACAUGAAAAGGGCUUCUCUCCAGUAUGAGUUUUCUGAUGUUUAUUAAGAUUUGAGAUGCUUUUAAAGGAUUUCUCACAAACAUCACACUUGUGGGGUUUCUCUCCUGUAUGAGUUCUUUGAUGUAGAAUAAAUUUGGAGUACGGAUUGAAUUCCUUUUUGCAAUAAUUACAUGUAUAAUAUUUCUUUCUAGUAUGAAUUAAUAGAUGUUGAGUUUUUUCUGAGAAACGGUGAAAGGUUUUUCCACAAAAGUUACAGGAAAAGGGCUUCCUUUGAGUAUGAGUUUUUUGAUGCCGAGUCAGGUUUACUCUGUUGCCAACAUGAAAUCUCUGAUGUAUAGAGAGGGAUGAGAGAAACCUAAAGGCCUUUUGACAUACAUCACAUUUGUAUGGCUUCAGUCCACUGUGCAUGCUCUGAUGUUGAAUAACCUUUGAAGGUCUGUUAAAAGUUUCACCACAUUGGUUACAUUCAAAGUGUUUAUAUAGUGUACAUAUUCUCUGGAGCAUUGUAAAUGAUGAGCGAUGCCUAAAGCCCCUUGUAUUUUCACCAUAUUCGUGGGUUUCCCCUACCUUAUGGAUUUUCUGAUGUCCAGUAAGUUGUGACACAUGCCCAAAAGCCAUGCCACAGUCAUCACAUUCAUAAUGCUGGACAAAAGUACGAUGUGUUCGGUAUUCUCCAUGGUGAAAGCUUUGUCUGAAGGCAUUCCCAGAUUCAUUGAGGGCACGAAACGUUGCCAAUGCUGGUUGACAUGCUAGUAGGAAAACAAUAUGAGAAAAAAAAUCAGAACUGGACACUGCAACAUACAUCAAGUUAAUUAGGAAAGCGAGGGAAAGAAGAGUGCAGUGACUGGAGACUUUAGAGGGGUAGGAUGAGAAGUAGGAGUUUGUGGAGGUGGAGAGGCAGAGAAUUGUUUCUCCACGUACAAGAAUGAUUUAAGUGAUCAACAGUGGCCAUUGAAUUUUUUUCUAUUUCUUUAAACUUGAAAUAAUUAUACUUGUGAUUGUAAAAAUGGCUGAAUGAAAUUUUAAUAACCAAAACAGAAAAGCUUAAAGAACCUAAAAAGAAUCACGUGAAAUCCUAAGCAUGGAUUAAAGUUUUGUUUCCAUUAAGGCCCUUUAAAAUAUUUCUGUGUGGUAUAGCAAUUUGUGAAAGUGAUUACACUUUAAAUAUUUUCCUUUGAACAUCAGAAUUGGGGAUACUUAUGAGUAAAUACACAUCUGUCUUAUCAAUUUGAUAUUGAAUGUUUUACUGUGCGACAGGGUCAUUAUUGAUUGGGCCGAUGCUCUAUUUGGAUAUUUGAGUUGUACUUAUUUUUGUUGUUGCUAAGAACAUUAAGAACAAUCUUAAAUCUACAUCUUUGUUAAUUUGAAAUAUAUUCUAGUAUCGAUUCUUAGAAAUGAGAGUUCCCAAUUAUAUUUUUGGUAUAUACAUGCACUGCACUGAAGUUCUUAUAUUGCAUGAACACACCAUUAUUUUCCAGUAUCUUGAUAACCCUAGACUAUCAAA